ACGGGUGAGUAACGCGUGGGAACGUGCCUUCCGGUUCGGAAUAACCCUGGGAAACUAGGGCUAAUACCGGAUACGCCCUUAUGGGGAAAGGUUUACUGCCGGAAGAUCGGCCCGCGUCUGAUUAGCUAGUUGGUGGGGUAACGGCCUACCAAGGCGACGAUCAGUAGCUGGUCUGAGAGGAUGAUCAGCCACACUGGGACUGAGACACGGCCCAGACUCCUACGGGAGGCAGCAGUGGGGAAUAUUGGACAAUGGGCGCAAGCCUGAUCCAGCCAUGCCGCGUGAGUGAUGAAGGCCUUAGGGUUGUAAAGCUCUUUUAUCCGGGACGAUAAUGACGGUACCGGAGGAAUAAGCCCCGGCUAACUUCGUGCCAGCAGCCGCGGUAAUACGAAGGGGGCUAGCGUUGCUCGGAAUCACUGGGCGUAAAGGGCGCGUAGGCGGCGUUUUAAGUCGGGGGUGAAAGCCGGUGGCUCAACCACAGAAUGGCCUUCGAUACUGGGACGCUUGAGUAGGGUAGAGGUUGGUGGAACUGCGAGUGUAGAGGUGAAAUUCGUAGA
Molecule: ribosomal RNA, 557 nt
Filed under: uncultured Methylobacterium sp.
Lineage: Bacteria; Pseudomonadati; Pseudomonadota; Alphaproteobacteria; Hyphomicrobiales; Methylobacteriaceae
Description: bacterial SSU rRNA
Rfam family: Bacterial small subunit ribosomal RNA
Source: RNAcentral